UACGGGGGGGGCAAGCGUUGUUCGGAAUUACUGGGCGUAAAGGGCUUGUAGGCGGCCAACUAAGUCCGACGUGAAAUCCCCAGGCUUAACCUGGGAACUGCGUCGGAUACUGGAUGGCUUGAAUUCGGGAGAGGGAUGCAGAAUUCCAGGUGUAGCGGUGAAAUGCGUAGAUAUCUGGAGGAAUACCGGUGGCGAAGGCGGCAUCCUGGACCGACAUUGACGCUGAGGCACGAAAGCGUGGGGAGCAAACAGG
Molecule: ribosomal RNA, 253 nt
Filed under: uncultured bacterium
Lineage: Bacteria
Description: partial 16S ribosomal RNA
Rfam family: Bacterial small subunit ribosomal RNA
Source: RNAcentral